GCAAGAAACCCAACUGUCAGACAAUUCCAGGGGCAAGAAAUGGGGGUGAUAUUGUCAAGGGUUUUGAGCCUAAAAAAGAGAAGGUUUUCUGGGUUUAUGAUGAUGAGGAUGCUAAACUCACAGAAGAGAAAUCAUUUGUUAAGGACCUUGAGCCCAGGACUAAUGUCUCAGCCUAGCAUGAUAAAGGUGCUACUAAAGAAGAGAAGGAGAAGCCAUUUGUGGGUGACUUUGAACCUAGGCCUAAUGUUUCUGCUUAUAAUGAAUAAGUGGAACAGAAACCAUGAAUAUUAUUCAUUAGGUAAGAAAUAGAGUGCCAUUGGUAGUGAUUAUAAAAAAUAUUUCUAGCAUUUCAAACACUUGAAUGAUAAAAAAAUUUAAAUAUUAAAAAUGUUGGAAACACUUUCUAAAAUUAUUAUCAAAUGAGCUUAUAAUUAGAAGCCCCUAGUGUUUAAUGUUUGUAUUGGAAUUGAUGUGAAGUGUGUGAAAUGAUUUAAUAAGAGUUGUACCACUUGGUUUGACUUAUUACAAGUUGGUAUUAUAUACCUAGAAAUGAUUAUGACUUUAAGAGAUCUUGAAGAUUAUUCAAGAUUUGGGUUUUUUCAUUUUUCUUUAAUUAGAUUUCAUAAAUGAUUUUUUAACUAUUUAAAAAUGUUUUUAAAAUUUUAUAAUUAGAAGUGUUUUUCUAAAAAUAUUGCAAACAAACUCUAAAGGUUUUUCUUAAUAUAUACUUUUAAAAAUCUAAAGAAUCACUUUUAGAAAUCACAUUUUUAAAAUCACUUUCAAAAAAUGAUACAAAUAAAAACCCUUUUACCAAAAUUACUCUAAAACAAACUUUUGUUUUAAUUAAGUAUAUAUUGAUAUUCCAUUCCGUGUUCUGUUGCUUAACAAACAUAUUGAUAAAACCAAGCUAGAAAGAUGAGGUUGGUAAGCAUCAAAUCUCAAAUGUAACCAUGACUUUUGAGAGGAUUGAUAAAAAAGCGCCUUUGAAGAUGGUAAUCCCAUCAACUAUAAACUUCGAGGAUGAAUAUAUAUCCCAUCAACUAUUCAAAAUUUAAGGAAUUUAAAUGUGAAACCUAGGUGAAAAUUUUAGACCAUUUUCGGUAAUUAUUGUCAAAAAUAGUUUUAAACAACAAUUUUAAAAACCAUAUUCUUAUGUUUUGUAAAAUAAAUGUUUAUUUGAGAAUAUGAAAUAUUUUAAACUUAUUUUCUAUAUUUUAAAAUAAUUUUUUAAAAUAUAUCUAUAUGCUUUAUUUUUAAUUAUUUUUCAUAUUUGUAUAAUUAUUUUUUUAAAUAACCCUAAAAAAUUAAGUGAAAAUAACUAAAACAUGUUAUCUAAAAACGCUUUUAUUUGUUGUUUUCGGGUUGUCAAAUAUGUUUUUUUUAUCUAAAAAAAGAAAAGUGUUUUGAAAAUGGUUAUGAAAUUUUCGAUAAUAGUUUUUAAAACUCAUUCUUUAAUAUUUUAUAGAAUAAAUGACUAAAUAUUUGUCUGAGAAGUUAAAAUGUUUUUUACUUAUUUUUUAUAUUUUAAAAAUAACUUUUAUAUGUAGAAUUUUAUUUAUAAUCAUGUAGACAUGAAAAAAAUUAGUGGAUUAAAUUACCACUAAUGUCUUCAAAAUGAAUAAAUUUAAAAUAUAUAUAUAUAUAUAUAUAUAUAUAUAUAUAUAUCCUCGAUAAGUUUUCCUAAUAUCCAACUAUAAAACAGAUAAUAAUAAUAAUAAUAAGAAAAUCUUCUUCUCCGAAAAGUUUUACCAACACGAUAAUAAUAAUAAUAAUAAUUUUCUUCUUAUUAUUAUUAUCCUUUUUAUAAUUGAAGAUUAAGAAAACUUAUCUAUAAGAGGAUAUAUUUAUUUAUAUAUAUAUAUAUAUAUAUAUAUAUAUAUAUAUAUAUAUAUAUAUAUAUUAAAUUUAUUCAUUUUGAAAGACCAAAUUAUUAGUAAUUUAAUCCAUUAAUUUUUUUAUAUCUAUAAAUCGUUUUUCAUAUUUGUAUGAUAAAUUUUUAAAAUGAUAUUUAAAAAAUAAGUAAAAAUAACUGAAAAAUUGUUAUUAAAAAAUAUUUUAUUUUAGUACUUAAUCUUUCUCCUUUUGAACUCCAAACAAGCUGAACAGUGAAGCACCAAUCCGAGGCCAAACCAACCCAUCUCUACUGCUAGCUGGGUGGGCACAGAAGCAAUUUUUUAGGAUUAGAUGGGCUAGGCAUGGCUCUUCGAUAAUUUUUCUAGAAAUUCAGGUUCAGUUAAAGCAUGGUCUACAAGCAGACCAUCCCUUGAUAAUUUCCAACAAUUAUGAAAGACAUGGGCUUUUGCUUCUGAUUCUCUCUGGAUUCGGACCUGCUGCCACCCAUCUGAAAGAGAGAGGAUUAAAAAAAUGUAAAGGAGAUAUGAGUUGCUAGAAAACAAGGACGUCCCAGCUUUAUAAGCCAGAAAACAAAAACAAUAAUGGAACACUAAUAUUUUUUUAAGUAAAAGGGCGCGCAUCCAAUAAUAGGAACAUGACGUGGGUUGGGCAGACUCAACCUAUUGAUUAAUUUGGAGGAAUGAUUUCAGAUCGAGGGAGGGAUCAUUAUUUUAUCCAAAAAUUUGUUACUUCAUUCAAUGAACUCUUGAAUCAUUAUUUCAUCGAGAUUCAAAACUCCAACAAUCAUAUCGACCGACACCCUUUUUGUUAAAUAUAAAAAAGACGUUGUCAAUGAUAUAAUAAUCAUCAUAACCUUACAAUUAUUUAUCAUCACACACACAGAUAGAUAUAUAUGUCAGAAUAAUUAGCAAAACCUGAUCCCUCCACUACCAUUAUAAACCCUAAAAAAAUCUCAUAAUUAUAGUUUUAGCAUAUAUGUUGCACUGCAAACUUUUCGAAAAAGAUAAAAUAAAAUUCAGGUCACCAAACUUUAACAAAAAUUCAUAGCUUCUCAUCAUCGUCCUCAACUACAAGGAUAUAAGGAUGAAACUGAUAGGUAUAAAGUGAACUCCAAGAAGACCGUUCAUAGUUCAAGAAAAUUGAAAGGGAAGUUUUCUAAUCAUAAAUUAGUGGUGCCAAAGAUUUUACCUUUGCUUUCCAUGAUACUUCAAAUCCUAACUAUUUUUUUAAUAAAAAAUAUGAAUAAAGACUUGGCCUUAGAUUUCCACAAGAUCUGGUAUAUUUUUAAUUAGGCAUAUCUUGAUACGUGACUCAAAACAUUUUGCCUGCAAAAGCUUGAAAAAAACGAAGGCACAAAAUAUAGUUGGUAAGCUGUCAAAUCUUCGAGCAUAUAUUCAGGCAUUGGGUCUCUGUUAUUUAUUUAUUUUAAUUUUUUUAGUGAAAACGAUUGGAUUUAUAAAAGUAAUCAUUCAUGUGGAGGCAUGGAACGUGUUUGUCAUGGUUUUACUAUUAUAUAUAUAUAUAAACAUAAUUAAAAUUAUCUAGAACCUUUUGUAUUUUAAAUUAUUUAAUUUUUAUAUCAAAUUUUAAAAUAAAUCUUAAUUAAUAUAUAUAUAUUUGUUAGAUCCUUAAGAUUUGAGAAAAAGAAAAGGAGAAAAUAUAAGGAAAAGAUUUAAUAAAUUAUUUGACGUGGUUCUUUUGAUAUAUUUCUGUCCCUUUUUUUAACAAAGAAUUUUCUUUGUAUUUUUAACAAUAUUGAGAUUUUGAUUUGUUUCCCACUUUUAAUUUCUCUAUUCCAUUUUACUUGUCAUAAUCCAAAUAAAACCAAGAAGUAAAUAUUUUUGUGAAAAUUGUUUUAAUUUUGAAACAUUAAUCAUAUAAACAUAUACAAAAUCUAAUUCAAUCCGAUUAUUAAGUAGAAGAAUUUAAUUAUUAAAUGAAUGAAAUGUGUUAUAUGCAUAUUACCUAUCUAGUAAUGAAGCAAUAUUUGAGUUUAUAUUUUUAACAAUAGUAUUAUUGUGUCGGGUUUGGGUUGAUAUAUGUCAUUGAAUAUCAAGACUUUGACAUGACAUGAAAAUUGUAACCCCUAUGUUAGCUUUCUCCUUAUGAAGUUCAAACAAGCUGAACAGUGAAGCACCAAUCCGAGGGCAAACCAACCCCAUUCUACUGCUAGCUUUGGUGGGCACAGAAGCAAUUUUUUAGGAUUAGAUGGGCUAGGCAUGGCUCUUCGAUAAUUUUUCUAGAAAUUCAGGCUCAGUUAAAGCGUGGUCUACAACAGACCAUCCCUUGAUAAUUUCCAACAAUUAUGAAAGACAUGGGCAUUUGCUUCUGAUUCUCUCUGGAUUCGGGCCUGCUGCCACCCAUCUGAAAGAGAGGAUUAAAAAAAUGCAUAGGAGAUAUGAGUUGCUAGAAAACAAGGACGUCCCAGCUUUAUAAGCUAGAAAACAAAAACAAUAAUGGAACACUAAAAUUUUUUUAAGUAAAAGGGCGCGCAUCCAAUAAUAGGAACAUGAUGUGGGGUGGGCAGACCCAACCUAUUGAUUAAUUUGGAGGAAUGAUUUCAGAUCGAGGGAGGGAUCAUUAUUUUAUCCAAAAAUUUGUUACUUCAUUCAAUGAAGUCUUGAAUCAUUAUUUCAUCGAGAUUCAAAACUCCAGCAAUCAUAUCGACCGACACCCUUUUUGUUAAAUAUAAAAAAGACGUUGUCAAUAUAAUGUCACAUAUAUAUAUAUUUUCAAGUUCAGUAAUAUACGACAUUUUUAUUAGUUUAUUUUCUUUCAUGGAAAUAAAAAAGUUGAUACUAGAUCACAAGAAUAAGUAAUAAAAAAAUACAAUAAAAACACACAAAUUUACGUAAAAAAAACCUUAGACAGGAAAAACUAUAGAUAAAAAUAUAGAAAAUCUAUAAUAUAAAAAAAUUGGUAUAAAAAAGGAGAGUUGUGAACGGUUAUAAUAAAAACAUAAUCAUCAUAACCCUACAACUAUAUAUCAUCACACACACACACACACAAUAUAUAUAUAUAUAUAUAUAUAAAUAAUUAGUAAACCCCGAUCCCUCCACUACCAUUAUAGACCAAAAAAAACAAAUCUCAUAAUUAUAGUUUUAUCAUAUAUGUUGCACUGCGAGCUUUUCGAGUCGAAUAAAAUAAAAUUCAAGUCACCAAAUUCUAACAAAAAUUUAUAGCUUCUCAUCAUCGUCCUCAACUACAAGGGUAUAAGGAUGAAACUAAUAGGUAUGAAGUGAACUCCAAGAAAAGUAUUCAUAGUUCAAGAAAAUUGCAAGGAAAAUUUUCUAAUCAUAAAUUAGUGGUGCCAAAGAUUUUACCUUUGCUUUCCAUGAUACGUCAAAUCCUAAUUAUUUUUUUAAUCAUAAAUAUGAAUAAAGACUUGGCCUUCGAUUUUCACAAGAUCUUGAAUCUCAUCCAGUAUAUUUUUAAUUAGGCAUAUGUUGAUACGUAACUCAAAACAUUUUGGUUGCAAAAGUUUGGAAAAAACGAAAGCACAAAACAUAGUUGGUAAGCCAUCAAAUCUAGGCAUCGGGUUUUUGUUAUUUAUUUAUUUUUAUUUUUUUAGUGAAAAUGAUUGAAUUUAUAAAAGUGAUAAUUCAUGUGGAGGCAUGGAACAUGUUUGUCACGGUUUCACUAUUAAAUAUAAUAUAUAUAUAUAUAUAUAUAAACAUAAUUAAAAUUAUCUAGAACCUUCUAUAUUUUAAAUUAUUUAAUUUUUAUAUCAAAUUUUAAAAUAAAUAAAAUAAAUUUUAAUAUAUAUAUAUAUAUAUAUAUUUUGUUAGAUCCUUAAGAUUUGAGAAAAAGAAAAGGAGAAAAUAUAAGGAAAAUAUUUAAUAAAUUAUUUGACGUGGUUAUUGCGAUGUAUUUAUGUCCCUUUUUUAGCAAAGAAUUUUCUUUGUAUUUUUAAUAAUAUUGAGAUUUUGAUUUGUUUCCCAUUUUUCUCUAUUUCAUAUUACUUGUCAUAAUCCAAAUAAAACUGAGAAGUAACUAUUUUUGUGAAAAUUAUUUUAAUUUUGAGACAUUAAUCAUAUAAACAUAUACAAAAUCUAAGUCAACCUGAUUAUUAAGUAGAAGAAUUUAAUUAUUAAAUGAAGGAAAUGAGUUAUAUGAUGUAUUACCUGUCUAGUAAUGGAAGAGUAUUUGAGUUUAUAUUUUUAACAUUAGUAUUGUUGUGUUGGGUUUGAGUUGAUAUAUGUCAUAGAAUAUCGAGACUUUGACACGACGUGAAAAUUGUAGCCCCUAAGUUUGUUGCACAUUACCUAUUUUCUGACGUUAGAAACAAGAACACUUUCUAACCUCAAUUCUUCUACUAAUAUUUAGUUGAAAAAUUCAUACGAGAAUGUUUUAACAUUACUUGGUCUUGUCAUGGCUCUUACACUUAAUCUUCACAUCAUUUGCCCAACACCACAUUGUUGACAUCUUCAAUGCAUUAUUGAAGGCCAACAAAAAUUGCACAUCAUGAUAUGAUCAAUAUACUUUAUCCAAGGCCAACUUGAACCUUAAGGUUAAUCCUUCUUAGCUAUAUGUUUGGUUUUCUUGUACUUCUUAUCUAUCUAUCUAUGUAAAUAGUAAGUGGAGCCUCGAUUCAAAUAACAGAAACAAAGUGUUUGCAGAUUGAGGAUAUGGCUUAUUCCUUGGCUUUCUUCACUAUUUUCUCGCUUCUCUUGGUGAGCAUUUCUAAGAGGCAAACUGAAACCAAUUGAUUAUGAACUCAGGAAAAUUUUGACUAUGAAUUUGUAUGGUUUCAUAAUUCUUACAAGUUCCUACAUAUUUUUCUCUUAAUUUGUGAGCAGGUGGGCAAUGCAAUAGGUGGAAGAAAAGAGCCUGGGGAAUAUUGGAGAGAUGUUAUGAAGGAUGAGCCCAUGCCAAAAGCAAUCCAAGGUCUUCUCCCUGAAGAUUAAUCAUCUUCUCUCUCAAGCAAGAAACCCAACUGUCAGACAACUAUAGAGGCAAGAAAUGGGGAUGAUGUUGUCAAGGGUUUUUGUUGAGGCCCCGCGUUCCUGGUGAUCCAUGUAGUUGCCAAAUGAAUGGGCGCACGAUCUCAACCACUAUAAGUUCCUGGUUCAAUCGUUCUUGCAAAAUACGUCUGAACAGGGUAUCCGGACGCACCCUUCGAUGGUUUUGUUAGCCAUGGUUCAGAGAGAUAAAUCAGUUGGCUUUUUAUUAGGUAUAACAAACUUACCUUCCUCUUUAUGUGAAGGUUCAUAUAUAUCGUCUCAGAAGCUCUGUCUCCCUCUUUAAUGAUAGGGAGAUAUUUUGGCUUGACAUGAUGCCUCUAAGUGGUGACAAAGCCAUCAUCACCCUACGGGCGGCUGCCAGAGAUCGUGGGGGGCGUCGCAGAUGUCAGAGAUUGUGGGAAGUGACUUGUUGUCAUUCCUGUCCUUUCACUCUACAGGUGGCGGAACGUGGGCCGUGACAGGCUGUCAGAAUGGCGUAGCAAGACUUGCUUACUUUAGUCAAUGAUCUGGACAAACAUAUUUGGAUAGGGUAUGUAGGUCUUCCGGAUGUAAUAUAACGAUCGUCCGGAUGUGAUGUUUGCGAGUGUCGUGUGCUUCUCUCUGAGGAAGUUCGGAUAGGAGAAGCGUGCCACGUGUCUCCUUUGGGGGAGAUCCGGAUGGAGCUAAUACGGAUGGAAAUGUGUGCCACGUGGCAUCAGGGAGAUCCGGAUGGAGCUAAUCCGGAUGAAAAUGUGUGCCACGUGGCAUCAGGGGGAGGGGUCCCUACAGUUUUGAGCCUAAAAAAGAGAAGGUUUUCUGGGUUUAUGAUGAUGAGGAUGCUAAACUCACAGAAGAGAAAUCAUUUGUUAAGAACCUUAAGCCCUGGACUAAUAUCUCAGCCUACCAUGAUAAAGGUGCUACCAAAGAAGAGAAGCCAUUUGUGGGUGACUAUGAACCUCGGCCUAAUAUUUCUGCUUACAAUGAGUAAGCGAAAAUGCUUGUAUUGGAAUUGAUGUGAAGUGUGUGAGAUGAUUUAAUAAAAGUUGUGCCUGGUUUCUGACUCAUUACAAGUUGGUAUUUUGCAUACUAUAUAUAUUAAUUAAAUACCUAGAAAUGAUUAUGACUUUCGGAGAUCUUGAUGAUUAUCCAGGAUGUGGGUUUUUGCUUUUUUCAUUUGUUGGAUGUGGCUUUUUUGGAUUAUCCAAGUUGAUCGAGAAAUUCCAUAGUACAGAACAACCAUUGAAUACUAUAAAUCUUCUCUCAGAGCACUUAACUAGCAUCUUCAUACUUCAGCUACACAC
This 8098-nucleotide long non-coding RNA is filed under the name Vitis vinifera (wine grape). RNAcentral describes it as "long non-coding RNA (VVIN_LNC000699)". Lineage: Eukaryota; Viridiplantae; Streptophyta; Magnoliopsida; Vitales; Vitaceae. The record is from RNAcentral.